RNAcentral lists this ribosomal RNA (395 nucleotides) under uncultured bacterium. RNAcentral describes it as "partial 16S ribosomal RNA". It matches the Rfam family "Bacterial small subunit ribosomal RNA", at positions 338 to 731 of the family's 1533-position model. The record is from RNAcentral.
CCUACGGGUGGCAGCAGUGAGGAAUAUUGGUCAAUGGCCGGAAGGCUGAACCAGCCAAGCCGCGUGAGGGAGGAAGGCGCAGAGCGUCGCAGACCUCUUUUGCCGGGGGACAAAAGGCCGGACUCGUCCGGUCCUGAGGGUACCCGGAGAAAAAGCAUCGGCUAACUCCGUGCCAGCAGCCGCGGUAAUACGGAGGAGGCGAGCGUUAUCCGGAUUCAUUGGGUUUAAAGGGUGCGCAGGCGGGCCGUUAAGCCGGCGGUGAAAUCGCGGGGCUCAACCCCGCCGAGCCGUGGAAACUGGGGGACUUGAGUGCAGGAGGGGAGAGCGGAAUGCGAGGUGUAGCGGUGAAAUGCGUAGAGAUCGGGAGGAACACCGGUUGCGAAGGCGGCGUGCCG